GUUUUUCGCCGUUUCGUAGUUACACGUUAUCGAACCGAUGGGCUCGCAAUUCUUUCAACAGCGAACGAAAAAAGCUUACCGCGGGGAUACGAGAGAAAGAUAUAAAAGGUUUUUCGUAUCAGAAAAAAAGAGGAACGUUUUGCGGAGGAUGCGAGCUUUUUCACCGGGGAUAUCGCGACGAACUUUUUCGACCAAUCGUCACAAGACUUAUUUUAUUACGAUAGCGUUAGCGAUUCAUUGAAUUACCUCACAGACGGGAGGACGAUGCAUUCCAUCUGACAGAAUCACGUUUUCGUUGAAACUCGAAGGACAAGCGCUUUCAUUUUACAUUUAAUCGAGUACAAACGCUGUACAUAUUACCAGUGUAUUAUUAAUAUUAUUAUACGUGCGUGUAAGUCUAAGUCUAAUGUUGUCGAAUUAGAAAUCUGUACUUAUAGUGAUUUUUCAGGCGAGCAAACGAUGUCGUCGAAAACGUCGAGUACAUUGAACAAACCUUUGGUAAAUGAAAAACCUUUCGACGUUUCCGACGACGCAUCGUGAUCUGUGUUCGUAGCCAAAGAUUUUUCGAUCCUAGUCUCUGUCUAGUCACGUUAGAAAAGCAGAAUCUCGCGAUGUAUCGUGUCCGGCAUAGAUUUCGAGGGCUACAAAUUGAAGAAAAAGGUUAGCAGACUCCCGGAGGACAUCGUGCCUCUUCGGAAGGAAGGAAGAAAAGCCGAGGGAGAAGAGCAGGAAGAAUGCAAGAGAGAUAUCUUGUCCGUUUCCCACGGGAGAGAGAGAAAACCGAAAAGGGAGCGGCGCUCUCGAAUAAAACAUUACCGACUAUUAAUUUAUCAACCUUACCCCAUCGUAAAACCAUCAUCCCUCUUUCGUAUCGGAUGUCUUUCUUCGAAGACAGUUUCAUCGAACAAGCGUUUUAAUUAUUAUUAUCUGCCGUUGUCCUUGCAUCGGAGGAGACAAAGAAAAUUCGAGUCCCUUGUUCGACGAAGAUGGACUUUGAAAAAGUAACAGGUAUCAAAGGAAGCAGCAACGCAGAAGAAGAAGAAGAAGAAGAAGAAGAAGAAGCACGUUGGGACGUUAUUCAGAUGGAUCACGCAGCGAGCGAAAACUUUCUUCAACCCCCUUUGCCCUUAACUACCUGUUGAUCGAAGGACGACAGAAACAGAAAAAUAUAAUUGUGCAUACAAAAAAAUCCCCGGGGGGGUGAGGGUGUUUCCCCUACGAUCCUUCUUACAUUUUGGAAGAAAAGGGGAUGAACCUGGAAGCAAGUUGGAGCCAGACGAACGUCUAAUACACGUGACGGAGAAACGAUGACCGUAAUUCGAUAGCAUAAGUUCGUGCCACGCGUUUAUAUCCUCCCCUUUUUAUAUCCUACGCCGUCGCGUAAUAUCGCAACAGCACGAAGCAACGCGAUAUAUCCGGGACAGCCGAGCAUAUUUUCACCCUAAAGAUGCGAGUCGUGGAGCGAGGCACAUUUACACGCAUCCUCCGAGUUCCCACUUCCAUCCCCGAAUGGCUACCACCCUUCCUAAGCUAUCGAUGUAUCGUAUUUUUUUCCACCCUCUCCUCGCUCCCGAUGUCUUCCAUGCUCGCUGGCUGUCGCGUAACGACGAUCGGAAACGGAAGAGAAAAAAACGUAUCUAUUACACGAGCAGGAGAAUUUCUUAGCCUUUCAGUUUUCAUAAUUGACUGAAAAAGAAUUGGGGUCAGUGGGGUUAAAGAAUCUAUAGAGGAAAAAAUAUUCUCCUUUCUCUCGAGUAUACAUCGUCUUGUUUUUUUUUUUUUCUUUUGUUCUUUCUUCAUGCCGGAGGGGUGAAUCGCGUCACGAAACGCAGUCACGCGAUUCUACGAUCACCGGUAAUCAUUUUCAUUUAUUUAUCUUCUGUCCCAUGGAAAAUAUAUGAACCGUACAAGGAUUAUAGAAAUUUUGAAUAAAAAUCUACCCUGUUUGC
Long non-coding RNA from Osmia bicornis bicornis, 1949 nucleotides. RefSeq lists it as uncharacterized. The transcript has 3 exons. NCBI's taxonomy places the organism in Eukaryota, Metazoa, Arthropoda, Insecta, Hymenoptera, Megachilidae. The record is from RefSeq and is a predicted model, not a curated record.